ACGGAAGGCAGCAGUGGGGAGUGUUGCACAAUGGGGGAAACCCUGAUGCAGCAACGCCGCGUGAGUGAUGAAGUAUUUCGGUAUGUAAAACUCUAUCAGCAGGGAAGAAACAAGACGGUACCUGACUAAGAAGCACCGGCUAAAUACGUGCCAGCAGCCGCGGUAAUACGUAUGGUGCAAGCGUUAUCCGGAUUUACUGGGUGUAAAGGGAGCGCAGGCGGCCCUGCAAGCCAGAGGUGAAAACCCGGGGCUCAACCCCGCGGAUUGCCUUUGGAACUGUAAGGCUUGAGUACUGGAGGGGCAGGCGGAAUUCCUGGUGUAGCGGUGAAAUGCGUAGAUAUCAGGAGGAACACCGGUGGCGAAGGCGGCUUGCUGGACAGAAACUGACGCUGAGGCUCGAAAGCGUGGGGAGCAAACAGGAUUAGAUACCCUGGUA
This 436-nucleotide ribosomal RNA is filed under the name uncultured Lachnospiraceae bacterium. RNAcentral describes it as "partial 16S ribosomal RNA". It matches the Rfam family "Bacterial small subunit ribosomal RNA", at positions 341 to 792 of the family's 1533-position model. Lineage: Bacteria; Bacillati; Bacillota; Clostridia; Lachnospirales; Lachnospiraceae. The record is from RNAcentral.